This 1600-nucleotide long non-coding RNA is filed under the name Homo sapiens (human). RNAcentral's name for it is "HSALNT0048344". Lineage: Eukaryota; Metazoa; Chordata; Mammalia; Primates; Hominidae. The record is from RNAcentral.
GGUGAGUUGGUUGAUUAUUUGUUGGUUGGUGAAUUUGUUGAUUGGUUUUUGCCUGGUGAUUGCCCUAUUUAACCUCCCCUUGCUGGCUGCUUGGAUUCCAAGUAUGUGUGAUUAUGAUGUUUUCCUGUGAUCUCUUUAGGAAUCACCUUUGGUUGCUGAAGCAUCCAAAGUGGAAGAACUCUCAGAGGAAACGGAAGUUAAAUCACCAUCUUCUUCUGUGGCUAAACCUAUAACAGUAAGAGGGCAGGAGGAAAAUUCCUGACUAUGACCUGGAUUUCUCCUACUCUCUUAGCCUCUGGAGUAGGGAUAACUCAAUUCAACUUUUCUGCUCUGACUUGUAUUUUGAAGGCCAAGGAAACAAGGCCCAUGCACGCAUGUGCGCGCGCACCUCCCCACCCCCCACACACACUCAGGUUCAUUGUUUUCCCAAUUCCCCAGCAGUUCACAUAUUUCUGUAGACCAAGUCCUUUCCAGUAUCCCCACAAUCUUUUUUCAGAGGCUAUCUUACCAUGAUCUCACCAAGCCCAUGGCAGGAUAGCCCUUCACAAGUUUCUUCCUAAGGAUUCCUCAACCUGCAGAGCUAAAGACUUCUGUCCGAUCUGGGAAUCUACUGCCUUUCUCAGCCAUUUGGACAGGACACAACUGGAGAAGCUGGCUAUUUUGCCAAGGCUUUGACUGGAAUGGUGUGCUUUCCUUUAAGGAAUCAAACUUGACUUAAGAAGUCAAUAAAAGCCCCUUAAAAAACUAGCCUCCUACCUUUGUCUACACAGCCCCUGUACAGGGCUCCUGACCUCUGAGUCGCUGAAAACUAUGCUGUGCCUUCAUAAAGCCCUGUGAGCUGAAGCAAGACAACUGAAACUUCAGAAUAUAACAGCAACCUAUUUACAUAAAUAAGCCACUUUCAUACCUGCCUACUAAUGUAUGGACUUCAGAGUAAUGGGGCCUAUAUCAAUUUUCCAGGAUUGUUCUUUUGUUUAUUGUGUUUUUCUUUCUUCCUCCCGCUAUUUUCUCUUCACUGGAUGUGAGACUUCACAACCUUUUUAAAAAUAAGAUUUCCUAAUAACUUGGGACCUACCUGUCUAGGAAUAAAGCAUCCUAGCCAUGAGAGAGCAGACAAAACCUGGGACCAGAGAUUUGUUUUCUUCUAAAAUGCUUUCUCCGAAAUAUUUUUAAAAAGAAAAGGGGAGAAAUGUGAAAGGAAAAUAUCUUGGUCCCCCAGAAUCACUAAGCUAAAGAGAAAAUUCAAGCUGGGAACUGUUAGGGCAAACCUGCCUCCCAUUCUAUUCAAAGUCAUCCCUCUUUUGAGAUAAAUGCAUAUCUGAUUGCCUCCUUUGGAAAGGCUAAUAAGAAACUCAAAAGAAUGCAACCAUUUGUCUCUUACCUACCUGUGACCUGGAAGCCCCUGUCUGCUUCAAGUUGUCCUGCUUUUGCUUCAAGUUGUUCUAGCUUUCUGGACAGAACCAAUGUUCAUUUUACCUAUGUUAAUUGAUGUCUCAUAUCUCCCUAAAAUGUAUAAAACCAAGCUGUGUUCUGACCACUUUGGGCACAUGUCAUCAGGACCUCCUGAGGCUGUGUCAUGGGUAUGCGUCCACAACCUUGG